Molecule: long non-coding RNA, 5168 nt
Filed under: Pan troglodytes (chimpanzee)
Lineage: Eukaryota; Metazoa; Chordata; Mammalia; Primates; Hominidae
Description: long non-coding RNA NONPTRT002109
Source: RNAcentral
GAAAUGCUAAAGUGCAAAUGUAGGGUUUUAUUUAUUUAUUUAUUUAUUUUUAUUUAUUUUGAGACAAGGUCUCACUCUGUCACCCAGGCUGCAGUGCAGUGACACCAUCACAGCUCACUGCAAACUUGAUCUCCUGGACUCAAGCCAUCCGCCCACGUCAGCCCCCCAAAGUGCUCAGAUUAUACGCAUGAGUCACCACAUCAGACCCUGCAAAUGUAGAUUUUUGAAAAAACAACUGCAACAUUUUAGCCCUUUUUAAAAUCAGGACCCCUAGGUCUUUCCCAAUAUAACUAACCAGCCAGUGAUUCCUCACUCACCUACCUUUUUUUUUUUUUUUUUUUUUUUUUUUUUUUUGAUACGGAGUCGCACUCUGUCACCCAGGCUGGAGCGCAGUGGCGCGAUCUUGGCUCGAUGCAACCUCCGCCUCCCGGGUUCAAGCGAUUCUUCUGCCUCAGCCUCCCGAGUAGCUCGGACUAUAAGUACCCGUCACCACGCCCGGCUAAUUUUUGUAUGUUUAGUAGAAAUGGGGUUUCGCCGUAUUGGCCAGGCUGGUCUCGAACCCCUGACCUUGCUAUCCACCCACCUCAGCCUCCCAAAGUGUUGGGAUUACAGGCAUGAGCCACCGCGCUCAGCCCACUCUCUUUUAAAUGCAGAUCUUCUGUGGGAGGAUUAAGUCACUGAGCCCACAGGGAACUGUGCUGGGAGUGGAAGUGGAGGGUGUGGAAAGCCGGUGGAAAACAAAUCUGUGGAUAGCCUGUAGGGCAGAUGCCUGAGGCUUGGGGAGACUGGGAAAGCAGGUCUCUAAAAGGAACUUCAUCCUUUUUCUCCUAGGCCUCAGAUGAUGCUAGAGUCCUGCCAGAAAUUGCAAAUGAUUCUGGCUCACUUUUGUAUUAGCGUAGGUGCGUAGCCCAGAGUCUAGAAGAGCAACAACAACGACAAUAAAAUUCAGUCUGUCCUUGAGGCAUUUUCAUGAGAUAAUAUUAAAUAUAUAAUUAAAUACUACUCAUUGUUUUUUCUCACAAAUAUAUACCCACCACCUACCAGGAACUGUCCCAGAAAUUGAUGAGGAAAAAAUGAUUUUUACGCCAUAACUAAUCAUACCGUAAUAUGCACUAGAAUAAGCAAAGAACGUAAAAUAGUAUAUCAUGGGGACAUUCGAAUUUAUAAUCCUAGGAGUGACAUGUAAGCUGGGCUUGAAAGAAUAACCAUAAUUUUGCUGAACUAAUAAGUAGGUUGUGGAAGAGAGUGCUAGCUGAUUAGGAAAACCUCUGCUCUCCUAAGCACGCAGUUAAACGGUGUUUUCCAUACGUUUUUUGCCGUUAAGUGUGGUCAUGUGACUGAGUUCUAACCAAUUAGAAUGAGACGGCAAGGGAUGUGUAGCUUUUUCAAUCCUGGCCAUAACAUUCUUCUUCAUGCGCUUCUCAAUGUCCUUUCUCCUUUCAUUAGGUAAAAUGGAGAUGAUCCCCAGGGCCAUCUUGGAAGCAGUUUUUGAAGUUGGUAGAGUCUCGGGCCCGCUUAACUGCUGAAAGAGUAGGAAGGGGUCCGUUUCAUUAGCACGUUCAACCAAAAAGCGCUGUUAGGUUUCCUGCACCACAAGGUUCCUUUCACUUACAAAAAAAUUUUUUUUAUAUUACACCAUCUUUAUUUGUACCUUCAGUAAGAACAGUUUCAGCAUCAACUAAUGAACAGUAGCCAAACCAGAGAGCAGUCAAAAGUGUUUUAAAGGGAGCAGCAUCAGCUGAUGUUCUGCCAAGUCUCUGGGUGUCCAGGACCAUGGUCCCCCGGCACUUCCAGGCCCCUGUGGGCUGCAGGUGGAUCCCCAGGAGCCAAAGGGCCUCUCAGGAAAGGGUGGAACUUGGCCUCGCAGUCAGCUGGCUUCUGCCUAUUAUGGUCAUCUUCUUUCCAGAGGUCUUGCUAUCUCAGUGGACAUGGCGGUCAUCCAGCCGUCCUGGGCUGUUUUCUCAUAGAAGAGGAUCUCCCUCUGAAAACUGUGUCAUCCUUCAAUUCCUGGGCCAAGUCUGGGGACACAUCUUUUCUUAAAGCCUGCUGAUAUGACGAGCAGUUCCCAUUUUCCUGCACUUUACGAAGUCUCUGAGGUGCAAGCAGUAGACAUCCUUCUCCAUGGACUCCCCCUGAGGCUGCUUCAUGUGUUUUCAGGGCAGUUCAGGCAGAUCGGAAACCACUGGCUGCAGCUUCGGGAUGUCCCUCUCCAGCUGUGCCCUUGAACCCUGCAGAGAGACCUGCUCGCUGAGCAGACCUUGGACUUGUGCUGUGAGUUCUGUACUCCUUUGGGUUUCUUCUCACAAUCGUAUGUCUGCUUUACCAGUCUUUCCCUCGGGACAUUCGAAGGAAGCACCUAAAUUACCAUUGUCAUCCAUGCUUUCAGAGGGACUUGCGGCCACGAUGCUGGGGGACCACCCUGUUCUGCUUCCCUGUUCCCCUCCACUGCCAAGUCCUCAUUUUCCAUGUCGUCUUUCCUGGUGCAGAUGAAGGGUGCUCAGCAGAGCGUGAGCCACCAGGGAAGCCACUCGCCUACUCCAGUUCGAAUAUUGGGGACUUGAGGCCUUCUUGUCUUUUUUGUGUGUGUGUGGCGUCUGAUUUACAACUUCUUGGUCGGGCAGCUCUGCGGGUUGCUGAUGGUCCAUGCUGUCAUUCACAUCGUCCGUGGUGUGCACUGGAAGAUCUCCAUGCUGUGAAGCGUGUAGGAUGUGCUUCACAUCAGUCACUUGGGGAAGUUCAGGAGGCUGCUUUUUCAUGCUUUUUUCAGAAGCUCACCUAGGUUAGGUCCUGAUCGAAAAACCUGCUCAUUUCCAUUAGAACCUUCAAGCAGAGUGUUUGGAGCAAUCAAGGACUGGCCCCAGCAUGGAUAAUAGGUAGCUACCACAGGUGUCGGCUGCUGGCUGCAUCUUGGCGCAGGCCUUUCUGUGGGCCUCACCUUAGACUGAAGCCCUUUGGGCCAGCCCUUCCCUCCUUCUCACUGCGUGUCGUCUCCUGACCAGAGAGGCCAUCACAGCGGUGCACGCCCAGCUCACCCAGAGUAUCCCUAGGGUCGCUGGCACUGGUCCCAGGAUUCUGUACAUCACUAAUUACUGCUGCCCACAGGUGGGCCAGCAGCAGUUGAGGAGGCAUUUCGUGGUGAGCAGCAGGUCCUUCGUGGCUCUUGAGGGCUCCACAGCUCUUCCUCUUUUCUCUACUGGUAUGUGGGCCACAACUGACCACUCAGAACCCUGCAGAGUGUUCCACCUCUAACACAAACAAGGGCUCGCCAACCAGGGUAAACCAUCCAUUAAGCUGGGGGAGGAAAGGCACCGCAAAUUCUAGAAAACUGUGUCCCUGAUUUUGCUGUGCAAAUAGAAAGUGACAUUACUUAACACAGUGCCUUGGAAGAGGGGAAAGAGUUCACGGCAAUCCCCAGCUCAGGCCACUCCAGGUCCCACCUGGCCUUACAGCAUAGCUAGAGGGUCAAAGCCAGUCAAAGCCCCGUGUCCACGCCUGAUCCUCUCAGGGCAGCGUGAUGGCCCGUCCCUGGUGGGGCUCAUUACCCUGAUUUCAAGUUUCCUUCUGCUACAGGGAAGCCUGGUCCCGCCUACAAAGAGACUGUCUACCUUGCUAGAUUGAACUAUAGGACUAUGUUUUCUUCAUCUCUGUAACCCCAGCAGCUCUCCAGAGACCCUUAUACACUAGGGGCAUGGUCAUUGCUUGUCUUGUUUUCUUGUUGACUCUAGACUGACUGAAGGCACGUCGCUUUCCCCUCUAGAUCUCCAUAUUCAGAUCUGUGAAUGACAGUAAGUGGGUGAAGGCCCCUCUAGCUUUAAAACCCCUCCAAUACAGAGAGAACACUGAAACCGCAAGCAGAAGCUGAGUGUGGUGAGUGGAGCAUUUUCCCUGGCAUGAUGGAGGGGACCUAUGGAUCUGGCUAUGAGGGUGGCAUCUGGCCACUUGAAUGGCUCUGCAGAGCUGGACCCUAGUUUUCAAAUCAGACUCAAGAAUGAUUUUAGUGUGGGUGGUUUUGUGGGGCAUAUAUUGUUUGAGACUUUGUUAUUGACACAACAGCUUCUGGAAGUCUUUUUGACAGAGAGUAUGCGCAGGUGCGGCCUCCAUCUGCUCGGCAGCCACUGUCUGGUGACGGUGAGCGCUGAGAGCUGGAUGGUCCUGUUAGAAAGGCAGCAUGCCAGCCUCCGGUGAUGAGCAGAGUGACCCGACCUUGUCUCUCCUUCCCCGUGGAGCACUGCAGGCUCUUCCCCAGACCUGCUUCUAGGCUUCCCUUCACCCGCUCCCACCAGGCAGCUGAGGCCACUCUAGGAUUCCAUUUUUAGUUGUACUUUUUUUUAAUUGAUCAUUUUGUGAGCAUUUUUCUCUCUAAUGCAACAGAACUAGCACAAGUCCUUAAAAAUGUAGGAUCUCUCAGCUCCCACAAAAACACAGAUGAUGGCCUAUGUAAUUCUCUACAUAUUUAAAUUGUUAGCUCUAAAAAUAGAUUCAGAGAAAGGGUGGACACAUGUUCCAAUUUUCUCAUAACAGUCCUGGGUUGUGCCUGUUAUCCUGGCAUAGUUAUUAAUCCUGUCCCCUUUCACUCUCAGACUCUCCUGGUUUGGAGGAUAAUUUCAUUCUAUUCAAAGAGGAAAUCUACAAAAAGGUGUCAUCAUCUAACCUGUACUCAUAUAAACAUUUUCCAGUCUCACGGUUCUGUGUACCUCUCCAAACCCCUCAAUCUUCUAAUCAUUUUGUGUAUUAUUUAUAGGAAAAGAGCACCAGCUAAAAUAUCUUGCCCUUGGAUUUCUUCAGCCAGCUGCUGAAGUAAUUUGUCUUAGUCUUUACUGAAGACUGAAUUGUAUCAUUAAGACUUUCUUCUAAGUCCUGUUAUUUUGACUUUUUGACUCACUCUGUGCCCUCUGAUACAUAAAGUAGCAAUAAUUUGUACAAUGAACCAUUGUAUUUGUUCACAAGAAAUUCUUCCUGUUCCUCACAUUUCUAUUCAUUUUCCUGAAGGUAUGUAUUUGAAAACUUGAAAAAUUGCCUGGCCCGGUUAUAGUUUAAUGGGAGCAUUUAAACAUACUUUUCCUACAAAGCUUAUCAGUUAGUUACUUAACCUUUAUGAAUAGGUUAAAUAUUUUCCACAGUAUUUAUAUAAAUAUGAUACUUGGUUUCAAGUUAAAUCUAAUAAAAAG